ACUAGGUGUGUUUGAAAAGAGAGAGAACCAGGAAGCCCAGCAAAAAACAGACGCUCAGACCCUGCUUUAGUCCUUCAACAUAGUUUGUGAUGAAAAUGAGACAAAAUUAAGAUUCAGAGAAAGCAGAAGUUAUGGAGACAAAGGUCCCUCCCUGGCCUUUUCCUCUUUGAGCUUUGGAGAAGAAAAAUGUUAGGGAACCAGCAGCCCUCCUGCUUUAUCAACUUUCAUUUUCACGGGACCAUCAAAAAACCAAUCAAAUAGAAGAAGGAGGAGGAGGAGGAAGAAGGAGAAGAAGGAGAAGUGGGAGAAGGUGGAGGAGGAGAAGGAGGAAGAAAAGAGAGACAUUGAAAACUGCCAUGGCAACCAGAAUCCAAGGUACCAAGUCAGAAAGAAUCCAAGUCAGAAAAUCCAAGUCAGAAAGAAGAGAACUUCAGAAAGAUGCCCAUGGUACUGCUUGGCAAGUAAAGAUACGAAACACAGAGGUUUAAGGCCUGUACAUUUUUUGACAUAAGGCCCCAAAUCCCUGAUAACAACUAAGAAAAGCCAGAUCCCAAACACGUUCCAGGACAUUUGCUUCAAACAAACCUCGGCUGAUACUGGCAUCAAUAGUUUUAGCUUCGCUAAUUUAUGGAAUAACACCUGUUGUUCACCUGACACUCACCUCAAUUUGACCCUACCCUGGAUUCCUGAAGAAACAUGUAUCCUAAAUCCUUUUCUAAUAUAACCCCCUAGCCCAAAACAACGACAAAACUCAUUCUCCCUUCCUUUCCGAGUCUCCCAGACACUCUGCUAUUCUUUGUCACUCACGCUAUUCAAUAAACUCUUC
Molecule: long non-coding RNA, 826 nt
Organism: Mirounga angustirostris (Northern elephant seal)
Lineage: Eukaryota; Metazoa; Chordata; Mammalia; Carnivora; Phocidae
Exons: 4
Source: RefSeq, a predicted model, not a curated record